CAGCCGCCGCGGUAAUACGGAGGGAGCUAGCGUUGUUCGGAAUUACUGGGCGUAAAGCGCGCGUAGGCGGUUACUCAAGUCAGAGGUGAAAGCCCGGGGCUCAACCCCGGAACUGCCUUUGAAACUAGGUGACUAGAAUCUUGGAGAGGUCAGUGGAAUUCCGAGUGUAGAGGUGAAAUUCGUAGAUAUUCGGAAGAACACCAGUGGCGAAGGCGACUGACUGGACAAGUAUUGACGCUGAGGUGCGAAAGCGUGGGGAGCAAACAGGAUUAGAUACCCCUGUAGUCCCUGUCUCUUAUAA
RNAcentral lists this ribosomal RNA (301 nucleotides) under uncultured bacterium. RNAcentral's name for it is "partial 16S ribosomal RNA". It matches the Rfam family "Bacterial small subunit ribosomal RNA", at positions 509 to 809 of the family's 1533-position model. The record is from RNAcentral.